CUCUUUCUCUCUAACCCCACAAAGAAAUAUGGUAGUGGUGGUGUUAGCAAUCCACAAAGGCAUGGAGAGGAAGAAGAAGAUAUCACAAUGGUUGAAUCUCACUUACAACCUCACAUGACUUCCCUCUCUUUCGGCUGCCUCUCUUCUCUCAACUCUCCUCUCCAUUGCUAUAACACAAGAAGUUCUAUGGAGGGGAACCUCUGAAAUCGCUGGACCUAUCACGCAUUGUGAAUCCCAACCAUUUCAAUUGCUUGACAAAAUUAAUGGACGAUGAGAAGGCUUUUGGUAAGAUAGUACAUGGAGGUCAAUGGGAUAAAACCAAUCUGUAAGUUCUGAGCUUGAUUUUACACUUAGGCUUUUAAAUUAAAAUAGAUUUUUUUGUCGAUGUUAUUACUCUCCUGUCUAUCCUGGCAGAAGAAUUGCUCCAACAAUUCUAUUUCUUAUUGAUGUUAUUACUCCUGUCUAUCCUGGAAGAAGAAUUGCUCCAACAAUUUUUUUGGAUGUCCCAGAAGAUUCUCUGAUCAUGAACGAGGAGAUAUUUGAUCCUUUACUUCCCAUCAUCACGGUAAAACUUCAGACCAUGUGGUGAAUUUUUGUUAAACUUAUGAAUUUCCAACCCCUCGUAAUUAUUCAUUUGAAGAGGCUAACAGUUUGAUAUGAAUUGUUACUUUUAUCAUGAAAACAGAGGGCAUUAAAAUACACUUGUUUUUUACUUUCUGUCUUUGCUUUUAUUUUAGCUCAGAAAAUUUUAAAUAUAAGUGAUGUUAUCGUUUCUUUUGAGAAGGUCGACAAAAUUGAAGACAGUAUCAAUGGAUCAAUGCUAGGGAAAAGCCGCUCGCUGCUUAUUUAUUUACGAAUGACAAAGAGCUAAUGGAGGAAUACGUAGGAAGUGUGUCAGCAGGUGGUUUGUGCAUCAAUGACACUACUUUGCAACCUAUAUUACAAUUCGUAAAAAGCCUUUCAUAGACUUGAACAAAUGGUCAAUUAUAUUACACAGUAUGUUUUUACAAUUACACUUGCACUACGAUUUGCAUUAGCUCUAACUGGUUUCACAAUUGUGAUGGGAUUAUAACACGGUAACUUGUCUGCAAGUUAAAUUCUUUGGCUUUCACUUCUCAGCAAGGUGCUUGUUCUUAAGUUCUAAGUUCAUCAAGUGUAAAGCUAAACAACGAGAGUAUGCACAUUUUCUUCUUUUUACCCUGCUUUCGUGAAUGGUAUUUUCAUGAGAUGUAUUACUGUCGUAGUGUAUGCAGUUUUCCUUACUUUUUUUACCGCACGCUUACAAUGAUCAUGUAAAAUGAUGAGUUUAGAAAAAAAUAAAAAUAAAUAAAAAAUAAAAAAUAAAAAUGGUGAUGAGAAUGACCUAAAUCUUAAUAAUUAACUUGCUGGUGCAGCUUGCAGAGUCAUCUUUACCAUUUAGAGGCGUAGGGGUGAGUGGAAUGGGAUCAUACCACGGAAAACUCUCUUUUGAUGCUUUCAGCCAUAAGAAGGCAGCUUUACGACAAGUUUUGUUGGUGAUAUAGGUGCAAGGUACCCGCCAUACACAACUAGGAAGCUUCAACUUCAGAGGGCACUGCUAAAUGGCAGUUUUACUUGGCAUUCUUCAAGCUUUAUUUGGUUGGUAAGAUUCAACCGUAUUUUGGCUAUCCAUGUGCAUGUAAAAUUCAGUCAAACACUUUCAUUAGAAGUAAAAGGUCUAUGUUAUGUAUUUGAUUUUAUGAUAGAAAUAAUGCAUUGUUGCUAAUUGGCUCCACAUCUAUUUGAACAGUAAGGCACCUUGGAAAAGUUUGUUGAUUUGUCAAGUUCUAGAUUUAUCAUAUUUUUAAUGCUCAAGCAUGACAGAAAAAUCAAGCAUUUACGCUAUCAACGCCUAAUCUGUAUUAGAAGGGCAAAA
Molecule: long non-coding RNA, 1894 nt
Filed under: Olea europaea subsp. europaea
Lineage: Eukaryota; Viridiplantae; Streptophyta; Magnoliopsida; Lamiales; Oleaceae
Source: RNAcentral